UGAGGAAUAUUGGACAAUGGGUGAGAGCCUGAUCCAGCCAUCCCGCGUGAAGGACGACGGCCCUAUGGGUUGUAAACUUCUUUUGUAUAGGGAUAAACCUUUCCACGUGUGGAAAGCUGAAGGUACUAUACGAAUAAGCACUGGCUAACUCCGUGCCAGCAGCCGCGGUAAUACGGAGGGUGCAAGCGUUAUCCGGAUUUAUUGGGUUUAAAGGGUCCGUAGGCGGAUCUGUAAGUCAGUGGUGAAAUCUCACAGCUUAACUGUGAAACUGCCAUUGAUACUGCAGGUCUUGAGUAAGGUAGAAGUAGCUGGAAUAAGUAGUGUAGCGGUGAAAUGCAUAGAUAUUACUUAGAACACCAAUUGCGAAGGCAGGUUACUAUGUCUUAACUGACGCUGAUGGACGAAAGCGUGGGGAGCGAACA
Molecule: ribosomal RNA, 422 nt
Filed under: uncultured bacterium
Lineage: Bacteria
Description: bacterial SSU rRNA
Rfam family: Bacterial small subunit ribosomal RNA
Source: RNAcentral